AUUGAACGCUGGCGGCAGGCCUAACACAUGCAAGUCGAACGAGUGGCGGACGGGUGAGUAAUGUCUGGGAAACUGCCCGAUGGAGGGGGAUAACUACUGGAAACGGUAGCUAAUACCGCAUACCAUCGGAUGUGCCCCUAUGGGAGUAGCUAGUAGGUGGGGUAACGGCUCACCUAGGCGACGAUCCCUAGCUGGUCUGCUAGGAUGACCAGCCACACUGGAACUGAUACACGGUCCAGACUCCUACGGUGGUCAGCAGUGGGAAAUAUUGCACACUGGGCGCAAGCCUGAUGCAGCCAUGCCGCGUGUAUGAAGAAGGCCUUCGGGUUGUAAAGUACUUUCAGCAAGGAGGCGUUAAGCGGAGAAGAAGCACCGGCUAACUCCGUGCCAGCAGACGCGGUAAGAG
Molecule: ribosomal RNA, 406 nt
Filed under: uncultured bacterium
Lineage: Bacteria
Description: partial 16S ribosomal RNA
Rfam family: Bacterial small subunit ribosomal RNA
Source: RNAcentral